GCGAGAAAACUUUGCAAUGUGCGAAAGCACGACAAGGUUAAUCCGAGUGGUUUCUGCUAAAGAAACCUUUUGUCAGUCCUAGAAACACUAACGAAUAAGGGGUGGGCAAGUUCUGGUGUCAGCCGCCGCGGUAAAACCAGCACCUCAAGUGGUCAGGAUGAUUAUUGGGCCUAAAGCAUCCGUAGCUCGUUUUGUAAGUUUUCGGUUAAAUCCAUACGCUUAACGUAUGGGCUGCCGGGAAUACUGCAUAACUAGGAAGUGGGAGAGGUAGACGGUACUCGGUAGGAAGGGGUAAAAUCCUUUGAUCUAUUGAUGACCACCUGUGGCGAAGGCGGUCUACCAGAACACGUUCGACGGUGAGGGAUGAAAGCUGGGGGAGCAAACCGGAUUAGAUACCCUAGUAGUCCCUGAGCGGGCUGGCAAGGCGCAU
This 430-nucleotide ribosomal RNA is filed under the name uncultured bacterium. Its description in RNAcentral is "bacterial SSU rRNA". It matches the Rfam family "Archaeal small subunit ribosomal RNA", at positions 339 to 776 of the family's 1478-position model. The record is from RNAcentral.